RNAcentral lists this ribosomal RNA (440 nucleotides) under uncultured bacterium. RNAcentral describes it as "partial 16S ribosomal RNA". It matches the Rfam family "Bacterial small subunit ribosomal RNA", at positions 338 to 795 of the family's 1533-position model. The record is from RNAcentral.
CCUACGGGCGGCAGCAGUAGGGAAUAUUGCUCAAUGGGGGAAACCCUGAAGCAGCAACGCCGCGUGGAGGAUGAAGGUUUUCGGAUUGUAAACUCCUUUUGUUAGAGAAGAUAAUGACGGUAUCUAACGAAUAAGCACCGGCUAACUCCGUGCCAGCAGCCGCGGUAAUACGGAGGGUGCAAGCGUUACUCGGAAUCACUGGGCGUAAAGGGCGCGUAGGCGGGAGAGCAAGUCAGAUGUGAAAUCCUAUGGCUUAACCAUAGAACUGCAUUUGAAACUGUGAUUCUAGAGUAUGGGAGAGGUAGGUGGAAUUCUUGGUGUAGGGGUAAAAUCCGUAGAGAUCAAGAGGAAUACUCAUUGCGAAGGCGACCUGCUAGAACAUAACUGACGCUGAUGCGCGAAAGCGUGGGGAGCAAACAGGAUUAGAUACCCGGGUAGUC